RNAcentral lists this ribosomal RNA (305 nucleotides) under uncultured bacterium. RNAcentral describes it as "partial 16S ribosomal RNA". It matches the Rfam family "Bacterial small subunit ribosomal RNA", at positions 508 to 807 of the family's 1533-position model. The record is from RNAcentral.
ACAGCAGUAGCCGCGGUAAUACAGAGGGUGCGAGCGUUAAUCGGAUUUACUGGGCGUAAAGCGUGCGUAGGCGGCUUCUUAAGUCGGAUGUGAAAUCCCUGAGCUUAACUUAGGAAUUGCAUUCGAUACUGGGAAGCUAGAGUAUGGGAGAGGAUGGUAGAAUUCCAGGUGUAGCGGUGAAAUGCGUAGAGAUCUGGAGGAAUACCAAUGGCGAAGGCAGCCAUCUGGCCUAAUACUGACGCUGAGGUACGAAAGCAUGGGGAGCAAACAGGAUUAGAUACCCGCGUAGUCCCUGUCUCUUAUAC